This 255-nucleotide ribosomal RNA is filed under the name uncultured bacterium. RNAcentral's name for it is "partial 16S ribosomal RNA". It matches the Rfam family "Bacterial small subunit ribosomal RNA", at positions 524 to 776 of the family's 1533-position model. The record is from RNAcentral.
UACGUAGGGUGCAAGCGUUUGUCCGGAAUUAUUGGGCGUAAAGAGCUCGUAGGCGGUUUGUCGCGUCGGCUGUGAAAACCUGGGGCUCAACCCCGGGCCUGCAGCCGAUACGGGCAAACUAGAAUUCGGUAGGGGAGACUGGAAUUCCUGGUGUAGCGGUGAAAUGACGCAGAUAUCAGGAGGAACACCGGUGGCGAAGGCGGGUCUCUGGGCCGAUAUUGACGCUGAGGAGCGAAAGCGUGGGGAGCAAACAGG